GCGCCUGUCCCCAUCUCUGGGCUGGGUCGGCGAGCGGAACCGCUCCGCAGUGCCAGGCGCCUUCGGCCUUCCCUCCCGUGCCGCCCCGCCGCCACUCACAUGCCCGCCGCGGCACACAAAGGACCGUUAGCUCCUGCCCCGGCUGCCGCCGUCGCCGCUCCCGACACGGGGAAGGGGUGGGGCUGCCCAAGGCGGCGAGCGGGCGGGGCUGUGCUCUGAGGUCUGCGCCGCGGAAGAAGAGGGAGGAGGAAGCGAGGAACUAGUGGAGAAGAAGUCCUGAAAGCAGCGUCGGUGUACGGAGGUGUGUCCGGCCCUUCAGCCGGUCUACCGUGGCGGCUGACAGUGCGGCCGGACUGCAGCCCCGACUCUGCCGGCAGUGGAGGCCCCGCAGACGGAGCUUGCCUGCUCCGUGAGCUAGGAGAGGCUUCCCUCGGCCUUGCGCCAAAUUGACAAGACCGGUCGCUCCCGCCCCCGAGAAAGCGAGGCUGGUCUCUUCGAACGAGAGGAAGGACGCAGUUUGGCUUGCCGAUGGUGCGCGUAUAACACAAGGCUGCCAGAGCCGUGAGGUAACGCUGAGAUCCAGAGCAAAUUCCUCCUCCAGCAGGGCAAGCCAGCAGAGCAGCACAACGGCGUUUCACACAAUUCCCAGCAUUCAUGCAUCACCCGGAGGGCACAACGUUACAGCUGAUAAACCUCAGGUUUCUCAGAGAUGCGGAACACAGGAGGAAACGUCGUUUUCCUGCACUGCUAUCAAUCACUUCCUUUAUCACGAGAAUUUGUUGGAAUCGAUCUACUUUAUCUCAUUGGGUAUAUGAGGACUGGGCAAACAGAUAUGCAGUGUUCAGCAGUCUGUUGAGUUAAAGCACAGCAGGGGAGAAAAGACCCAGGAACCUGUUUGGAGAAAGUAUAUCAAACUAAGAAAUAAUAAGCCUACUGCAGGAAGCUUAAAACCCACAAUGGAAUAUGAUACCUACAAAAAUGUAUGGCAUGAGGGGCACAAAUGUGAAUGACUGGACAAGAUGGGAGGAGUUGAAGCCUGAUAUAAUUCC
Molecule: long non-coding RNA, 1049 nt
Organism: Pogoniulus pusillus (Red-fronted tinkerbird)
Lineage: Eukaryota; Metazoa; Chordata; Aves; Piciformes; Lybiidae
Exons: 3
Source: RefSeq, a predicted model, not a curated record